GCCAGGUGUGACGGCUCACGCCUGUAAUCCCAGCACUUUGGGAGGCUGAGACGGGCGGAUCACCUGAGGUCAGGAGUUUGAGACUAGCCUGACCAACAUGGUGAAACCCCAUCUCUA
This 117-nucleotide non-coding RNA is filed under the name Nomascus leucogenys (northern white-cheeked gibbon). The record is from Rfam by way of RNAcentral. Lineage: Eukaryota; Metazoa; Chordata; Mammalia; Primates; Hylobatidae.